RNAcentral lists this ribosomal RNA (378 nucleotides) under uncultured bacterium. Its description in RNAcentral is "bacterial SSU rRNA". It matches the Rfam family "Bacterial small subunit ribosomal RNA", at positions 521 to 896 of the family's 1533-position model. The record is from RNAcentral.
UAAUACGUAGGGGGCGAGCGUUGUCCGGAUUUAUUGGGCGUAAAGAGCGCGUAGGUGGUUUGUAAAGUCGGAUGUGAAAGUCCAGGGCUUAACCCUGGGAUGCCAUUCGAUACUUGCAGACUAGAGCAUGGUAGGGGGAUCUGGAAUUCCUGGUGUAGCGGUGAAAUGCGCAGAUAUCAGGAGGAACACCGGUGGCGAAGGCGGGAUCCUGGGCCAUUGCUGACACUGAGGCGCGAAAGCUGGGGGAGCAAACAGGAUUAGAUACCCUGGUAGUCCCAGCCGUAAACGAUGGGUGCUAGGUGUGGGAGGCUAUCGACGCCUUCCGUGCCGCAGCUAACGCAUUAAGCACCCCGCCUGGGGAGUACGGCCGCAAGGCUA